RNAcentral lists this ribosomal RNA (253 nucleotides) under uncultured bacterium. RNAcentral describes it as "partial 16S ribosomal RNA". It matches the Rfam family "Bacterial small subunit ribosomal RNA", at positions 524 to 776 of the family's 1533-position model. The record is from RNAcentral.
UACGUAGGGGGCUAGCGUUGUCCGGAAUCAUUGGGCGUAAAGAGCGUGUAGGCGGUCCGGUAAGUCCGCUGUGAAAGUCGGGGGCUCAACCCUCGAAUGCCGGUGGAUACUGUCGGGCUAGAGUGCGGAAGAGGCGUGUGGAAUUCCGGGUGUAGUGGUGAAAUGCGUAGAGAUCCGGAGGAACACCAGUGGCGAAGGCGACACGCUGGGCCGUACCUGACACUGAUACGCGACAGCAUGGGGAGCGAACGGG